CUACGGGUCGCAGCAGUGGGGAAUAUUGGACAAUGGGGGCAACCCUGAUCCAGCAAUGCCGCGUGUGUGAAGAAGGCCUGCGGGUUGUAAAGCACUUUCAAUAGGGAGGAAAAGCUUUGGGUUAAUACCCCGAAGUCUUGACGUUACCUUUAGAAGAAGCACCGGCUAACUCCGUGCCAGCAGCCGCGGUAAUACAGAGGGUGCGAGCGUUAAUCGGAAUUACUGGGCGUAAAGCGCGCGUAGGCGGUGUGAUAAGUCAGAUGUGAAAGCCCCGGGCUUAACCUGGGAACUGCAUUUGAUACUGUCAAACUAGAGUAUGGUAGAGGGUAGUAGAAUUCCUGGUGUAGCGGUGAAAUGCGUAGAUAUCAGGAGGAAUACCAGUGGCGAAGGCGGCUACCUGGACCAAUACUGACGCUGAGGUGCGAAAGCGUGGGGAGCAAACAGGAUUAGAUACCCCGGUAGUC
RNAcentral lists this ribosomal RNA (464 nucleotides) under uncultured bacterium. RNAcentral's name for it is "partial 16S ribosomal RNA". It matches the Rfam family "Bacterial small subunit ribosomal RNA", at positions 339 to 795 of the family's 1533-position model. The record is from RNAcentral.